GACGAACGCUGGCGGCGUGCUUAACACAUGCAAGUCGAACGGAAAGAUCCUGCGUUUGCGGGUUUCUCGAGUGGCGAACGGGUGAGUAACACGCGAGUAACCCGCCCUUGUCUUUGGGAUAACUUCAGGAAACUGGGGCUAAUACCGCAUAUGAUCUCCUGCUGCAUGGUGGGGGAUGGAAAGUUUCGGCGGUUGGGGAUGGACUCGCGGGUUACCAGCUUCUUGGUGGGGUAGGGGCUUACCAAGGCUAUGACGGAUAGCCGGCAUGAGAGGGUGGCCGGCCACCAUGGGACUGAGGUAGGGACCAGAAGGGUACCUGACGCAGCAGUCGGGAGUCUUGCGCAACGGGGCGAAGCCUGAUGCAGCGACCCUGCGUGCGUGAUGCCGGCCUUCGGGUUGUAAACCGCUUUCGCAUGUGACGUGGCGUGCGUGACGGUAAUGGGUAAAGAAGCACCGGCUAACUACGUG
RNAcentral lists this ribosomal RNA (468 nucleotides) under uncultured bacterium. RNAcentral's name for it is "partial 16S ribosomal RNA". It matches the Rfam family "Bacterial small subunit ribosomal RNA", at positions 28 to 507 of the family's 1533-position model. The record is from RNAcentral.